This is a long non-coding RNA of Pelobates fuscus (common spadefoot toad), 330 nucleotides long. RefSeq lists it as uncharacterized. NCBI's taxonomy places the organism in Eukaryota, Metazoa, Chordata, Amphibia, Anura, Pelobatidae. The record is from RefSeq and is a predicted model, not a curated record. The transcript has 3 exons.
GGAGCCAAAAGGCAAUCUAUAACACGACCAGAACAUCAGGUCCUGGGGACAUCUUUAUUCUCCAACACACUCAGAACUAUCCAAAGUAAAGCUUCAUUCGUACUGAGAGGAGCAGAGAUCAAUGACACCCCUUCCAGCUGCUAAUGGCCAAGAUCAGAGGGAGAACAAAUCCAAUCAAGCUUGGAUCCUCACAUUUUCAGGCAUAUUAUUGUUUAUUUAUCCCUGAAGAUACCGGUUUAUGAAGACUGACUACAUAUUAUUAUUCACCUCUCACCGUGAUUAUAAACAAAAUACAAGCAUCCUAUGGAAGGUAACACACACAGCAAUCAA